CAAGUACUCCCUCCAUCCGGAAUUACUUGUCAUCAAAAUGGAUGUGUCUAGAACUAAAAUACAUCUAGAUACAUGCAUUUCAAUGGCAAGUAUUUUCGAAUGGAGGGAGUACAAG
Triticum aestivum (bread wheat) is the source of this 115-nucleotide non-coding RNA. NCBI's taxonomy places the organism in Eukaryota, Viridiplantae, Streptophyta, Magnoliopsida, Poales, Poaceae. The record is from Rfam.